RNAcentral lists this transfer RNA (68 nucleotides) under Holothuria fuscogilva. RNAcentral's name for it is "tRNA-Ile". Lineage: Eukaryota; Metazoa; Echinodermata; Holothuroidea; Aspidochirotida; Holothuriidae. The record is from RNAcentral.
GGGCCCACUCCAAGCAGGAAAGCCUGACCGAUAAUCAGACUGUAGAGGUUAAACUCCUCUUGGGCUCU